GAAAAUAUCAUUUCCCUCAUCUCCAUUCCCUGAGGAAGCAUCUGGAAAAGAAAAGAAUGGAAAUAUGUCGUCCACAGUUUCACACUCCUGGCUUUUAAGUCCUUCUCUGAAGUUGAAAGAUGAGUACUCUUUUAAUGGCUUUGGUUUCUGUUCAGGUUGUUCUAAUUGACAACCAUCCUUGCCUUGCUUCGAACACUUGGCAUUUAUCAGGGAUGCUGAGGCUACGGCUAAACGAGAGGCUUUGAAACAUGUAUGUCUUCCUCGAUAGGUGAUUUCAAAAAUUGUAGGGUCCUGAUCUGAUCUUUGAACUUGUUUCGUGGCCAAACAACCUUGUGAGUGACGGUGAG
This 347-nucleotide unclassified non-coding RNA is filed under the name Hevea brasiliensis (rubber tree). Lineage: Eukaryota; Viridiplantae; Streptophyta; Magnoliopsida; Malpighiales; Euphorbiaceae. The record is from RNAcentral.